UACAGAGGUCUCAAGCGUUGUUCGGAUUCAUUGGGCGUAAAGGGUGCGUAGGCGGCCAACUAAGUCAGACGUGAAAUCCCUCAGCUUAACUGGGGAACUGCGUCUGAUACUGGAUGGCUUGGAUUCGGGAGAGGAAUGCGGAAUUCCAGGUGUAGCGGUGAAAUGCGUAGAUAUCUGGAGGAACACCGGUGGCGAAGGCGGCAUUCUGGACCGACAUUGACGCUGAGGAGCGAAAGCCAGGGGAGCAAACGGG
This 253-nucleotide ribosomal RNA is filed under the name uncultured bacterium. RNAcentral's name for it is "partial 16S ribosomal RNA". It matches the Rfam family "Bacterial small subunit ribosomal RNA", at positions 524 to 776 of the family's 1533-position model. The record is from RNAcentral.